UACGUAGGGCGCAAGCGUUGUCCGGAAUUAUUGGGCGUAAAGAGCUCGUAGGCGGUUUGUCGCGUCUGGUGUGAAAACUCAAGGCUCAACCUUGAGCUUGCAUCGGGUACGGGCAGACUAGAGUGCGGUAGGGGUGACUGGAAUUCCUGGUGUAGCGGUGGAAUGCGCAGAUAUCAGGAGGAACACCGAUGGCGAAGGCAGGUCUCUGGGCCACUACUGACGCUGAGGCACGAAAGCUAGGGGAGCAAACAGG
RNAcentral lists this ribosomal RNA (253 nucleotides) under uncultured bacterium. Its description in RNAcentral is "partial 16S ribosomal RNA". It matches the Rfam family "Bacterial small subunit ribosomal RNA", at positions 524 to 776 of the family's 1533-position model. The record is from RNAcentral.